Molecule: transfer RNA, 86 nt
Filed under: Plagiopus oederianus
Lineage: Eukaryota; Viridiplantae; Streptophyta; Bryopsida; Bartramiales; Bartramiaceae
Also listed under: 3 other names
Description: transfer RNA Leu
Rfam family: tRNA
About the family: Transfer RNA (tRNA) molecules are approximately 80 nucleotides in length.
Source: RNAcentral
GGGGGUAUGGCGGAAUUGGUAGACGCUACGGACUUAAAAUCCGUUGGCUUUAUUGACCGUGAGGGUUCAAGUCCCUCUACCCCCAA